Molecule: non-coding RNA, 200 nt
Organism: Oryza meridionalis
Lineage: Eukaryota; Viridiplantae; Streptophyta; Magnoliopsida; Poales; Poaceae
Source: Rfam
AAUAAGUGCAGCCAUAAAUUUCCACGCCCAAUUUUGAUCGUUUAUUUAAAAUUUUUUUAUAAUUAACAUUUUUAUUGCUAUGAGAUGAUAAAACAUGAAUAGUACUUUACUCGUGACUUAUGUUUUUAAUUUUUUUCAAAAAAUUUUCAAAUUAGACGAACGGUUAAAGUUGGGCACGGAAAAUCAUGGCUACACUUAUU